AGGCAAGCUGCAUAAUUAAACAACUAGGUAUUCAAAUUACAACCAAAAAAACCUUUAUUCUUUAAUCUGAAUCAUUUCAAAUAAGAUUUUUAAUUUUAUCAACUUUCGCCUGGAACAAUGACUUUGAUCUAAACAACCAGUUAUUAUAAUCUAAAAACGAUAUAAAAAAAACACAUACUAAUAUUUAAAUAAGCAUUUCUCUCUGCUACAUAUAAUAUUUUAUUCAAAUUUCAAGAAAAGCUUUAAGAAUUUUGAAGCUUAUCCUGGAAGGGUACAACAACAAUAUUGGCCGAAAGGUGGUUGACAUUCCCCUUUUGUAUAACCUUGUCGUUUGCAUUCGUUAUCACAACCCGUAAAAUAUGGACACUUGCCGAUGCAGCUAAGAGCACAUUCAACUUUCUGCACACUUGUUGAUAAUACAAAAAUUGCAAUCAAAGCUACAACAAAAAGAGUGUAACAGCGACUCAUUUUGACCUAUUUUUUUCUCUUCUGAUUCUAUGAUACUACAGAU
This 511-nucleotide long non-coding RNA is filed under the name Lathyrus oleraceus (garden pea). Its description in RNAcentral is "Pisum sativum (pea) long non-coding RNA (PSAT_LNC011474)". Lineage: Eukaryota; Viridiplantae; Streptophyta; Magnoliopsida; Fabales; Fabaceae. The record is from RNAcentral.